UGAUCUGAGACUUAUGUCCUGGAGAUUGGAAAAGAUGUGGAGGACACAGCAUGAGUAAGAUGAUGGCAGACACAGCUAGUGGCCAUCAGUAUCCACAUUCCCUUUGCCUUAGGUAAUAGAAUCCGAGUGUUGCUGGCACAUAGCUGCCGGGGAAGGAUUAUGUGUCCCAGCCUCCAGCACAUGGGCAUGUGACCAGCUGCUGGCCAGUGGGGUAUGGAUGGAAGAAAUGUCUCCAGCGUCUGAACUAAGCCACUGUCUCUUGGAUGGCUCUAAACUGCAAUUCUAAGGAGGAUCAUCUUAAAUGUAUGAAACAAUUUCUAAAUUUGGAACACACAAACCAAUUCGGGGCAUGGGAAUUAGUCUGCAUUCCGGAUCAAUUAGGGAAAUAGUUUGCAGUCACUACGACAUUUUGAAACACGUCAAAUGAGAAGGAGAAACCAACUGUUGUAUGUCACCGUCACAAAGAACAAAUGUGUGAGUGGAGGCUUGGAUAAACUAAGAGAUGGUGCCAGGGGCACAGAUGAUAGCGACUGCCCCUCAUGUGCUGCUUGGCCCCAGGAACAAGCUCAAUCCAUCCUAGGAUCAACACUAGGAGGGAGGUAUGAUUAUUAUAAUCACACUGCAAAUGAAGAACUUCACUGCCCAGAGGCCACAGGCUGCUCGGGACUGAGAGGACGCUUGCAUUCGGAUGCGGAGCCGGCUCUCCCAAAGGCUUAGUCUAGACCUCCCAAAGUGGAAGCUGAGUCAUGGAGGCACAGAUGGGCUGCUGCAGGCAGCCAAGGCACAGCACGCCUCAGGACUCUGAAGCUCAGAGACGUCCCACAGCUCCUGAUCCACGUUGAAUGCUCCUGUGGGCAUUCAGUGCUCUGUGGUCCUUGUGGCCUAUCCUGCGAAUGUCCUCUGAUAGUCCAAGAAAUGCAGGAAGCCAUUGGCAUGGGAGGGACUGUCUGUCGGUGACCCCCCAGUUGUGCUGAGAGCUCCUGAGCAGUCUCCAGGGUAAAAUCUCUGCAUCAAGCCCUUUUAUACUUGGGUUCUAGACUCUUCCCAAGUCCCAUUGGAAAAGACUGGAUGACACAAUCACAAUGGAAACGAACCUUUCUGGUUGUUUAGCUGGUAAGGGCACCACCUGCCAGCUGUUAGGACCUGGCAUGUACUGAGAGGGGCCGUCUAGUGGAAGUAGGGCCUAGUGCCAAUGGGUGGGAGUGGACACCCACCGAGAUUCCAAGGGGUCAUGCUCCCCCUCUGGCUUCUCAGGCUUCACCCCAACAGCAGGAUGGUGGGGAGGAAAGGUCAGGCCCUAAGAUCCAGGUGAUGGGGANAGAGAACAGCAGGAUUUACAGCAGGGUUUACAUGGAAAAUGCACAGAAACAGCAGGAUGGUGGGGAGGAAAGGUCAGGCCCUAAGAUCCAGGUGAUGGGGAUUCAUCUGGGAGCUCUAUCUAGCCUGAGGUGUCAGCCACUGAGGACAUUGCUGUGCAGUCAGCAAGCUGCUCUGGUGCUGAGGCUGCUCGUCCAGGGCCUCCGUCUUUGAUGACGGGAGCCACGUGAAUGUAGUGGACGUAGUCAGCUGACAAAGUGAUGGGGGGCCUAGUGGGGAAGCACAUUGUCAGUGGUACAGCCCGUCCUGAGGAAAGGCCUGGGGCCAGCGCCGGGCGCGGUGCAAGGGCAGUGAAGCAGGAGGCGGGAGGCAUCGUUUCUGGCCUCAGGGAGCUUCCUGAGCGGAACAGAGCCUGGGAGCGGGUCUGAUCGCCUUCUGCUGUGUUCCAAAGUCACGGUGGUGCCUGGUCAUUUAAACCUAUGUUAUUCGCCUACACACACUCUCACUGAAUUUUAAUAACUGGUAAGCUGGGGGCUGUGGCCAUCCCCCGUCCACCCCCACGAGCUGUGACAAAAUGAAGUCUGGGGCUAAACCACCUGCUACAGGCUGCACAGCUUGUCUAUUCGGAAGCAAACAUGUGAGCCCAGGUGGCUUGGCUUAGAAAUUCACAUGUAAAACCUGUAAUGCCAUUCAGCCUCAGCUUCACCCUUAAUUCCAAUGAACCAUAAUCAAGAAAAAGUAGCUAUGAUAGCUGAUAGCUGAUACUCCCAGGGGUUUACUAACUUCCAGGUGCUAUAGUGCUUUCUGUGCAUUUUCCAUGUAAACCCUGCAGCCACCCUGUAGAAUUGGCAUUCGUGGUAUCUGGGUUUUAUAGAUGAGGAAAACAAAGCUCAGAGAGGUUAAGUGACUGUGCCCAGGUCACUCAGGGUGGAAGUAGUGGAGCUGGGAUUUGAACCAGGCAAUCACCAGGCCUCUAGGUGUAGCUUAUUCUCCAAAGUGGACUAAUCCCUCUGAGAUGUGCUUCAGGAAAAGAGCGUUCCACGACCAUGCAAGUCUGCAACAACCCUGAGGGCUCCCCUCCCCUCCAGGAGACUCAAAAUGCUCCUUAGCAGGCAAGAGGCUCAAAGGAGACACACUUCCAGUUACAAGAUGAGCAGGGGCGAGGUGUGUGGGGGUGUCAUGCACAGCUGGUGCCUACAGCUCCUGAUACUGUAUCCCACCCAAGUGCUGCUACCACAGUAGAUCUUAACUGGGACAAAUGGUAACUCUGUGGCAGGAUGGAGCUGGGGGCCCUUGCCAUGCUCUCUCUGGGUCUUGCUUCUCUUAUGUUAUCAUUUCUCAAGUUAUUUUUUUGCUUUAAAAAGAAAAAAAAAUCUGAUUCUAUACUGGUUCUAUCAAUAAAUCCACAAUAGACUGCA
Vulpes vulpes (red fox) is the source of this 2735-nucleotide long non-coding RNA. Lineage: Eukaryota; Metazoa; Chordata; Mammalia; Carnivora; Canidae. The record is from Ensembl.